AUUGAACGCUGGCGGCAUGCCUUACACAUGCAAGUCGAACGGUAACAGGUCUUCGGAUGCUGACGAGUGGCGAACGGGUGAGUAAUACAUCGGAACGUGCCUAGUAGUGGGGGAUAACUACUCGAAAGAGUGGCUAAUACCGCAUGAGAUCUACGGAUGAAAGCAGGGGAUCGCAAGACCUUGUGCUACUAGAGCGGCCGAUGGCAGAUUAGGUAGUUGGUGGGAUAAAAGCUUACCAAGCCGACGAUCUGUAGCUGGUCUGAGAGGACGAUCGGCAACACUGGGACUGAGACACGGACCAGACUCCUACGGGAGGCAGCAGUGGGGAAUUUUGGACAAUGGGCGCAGGCCUGAUCCAGCAAUGCCGCGUGCAGGAUGAAGGCCUUCGGGUUGUAAACUGCUUUUGUACGGAACGAAAAGCCCCGGGUUAAUACCCUGGGGUCAUGACGGUACCGUAAGAAUAAGCACCGGCUAACUACGUGCCAGCCGCCGCAGUAA
This 498-nucleotide ribosomal RNA is filed under the name uncultured bacterium. RNAcentral's name for it is "partial 16S ribosomal RNA". It matches the Rfam family "Bacterial small subunit ribosomal RNA", at positions 30 to 523 of the family's 1533-position model. The record is from RNAcentral.